AUUACACCUCCUGCAACUGUCUCAGAGUAGAAACAUGUUUGCUGUUCUAGUGGAAUAAUGGAUCUGCUUCAUUUUUUUUAGAUUGAUGCAACUUCAGUGAAAAAAGCUCAGAACUGGGCUCAGAAAGUUAUAAAAAUCUAACUAUGAAGAGAAGUUCCUGCUUUUUGAUGGUCUUGGUAACAACUUGUCCACUUACAGGAUUGUAUAGAAAAUAAGAACAUGAUUCAGAGAUACACAUUUCUGGAACUUCAUUUGGUGGAAGAAUCCAAGGGCUCCAGAAUGGCCUGUUGCAAGAAGAACAGAAAGCGUUUUCAGAAGCACAGCUGGGCAGUUCUGCACCAGGGGUGGCAGCGGCACACAGGGUCCCAGUAAUGGCUAGGCUGCAGGUGGUAGCUGCUAUUUUUGCACCCCCAUGAAAGUCAGCACCUGGGCUGGUGUCCUAUUAGCCCUUGCUUAGUUACAAGGGCAACACCCAUCUGGACUGAGACAGCACAAGACUCCAUGAAGCAGAACAAGGAAUGAAGCCCUUGUCAUGCUGAUCGUGCCUGCCUUGCCCUCAUCUCCCUAUUUUACUGCAAUUCCUGCGAUCACAGACCCGAUGAAGAAUGUCCUGCAUUCAAAAUGUUGUCUUACUUUAUCCCAACUGCAUAGUUGGUCAAAUAAAACAUACCGUCCUAAAAAAAUUCUU
This is a long non-coding RNA of Alligator mississippiensis (American alligator), 688 nucleotides long. RefSeq lists it as uncharacterized. The transcript is spliced from 3 exons. The record is from RefSeq and is a predicted model, not a curated record. Lineage: Eukaryota; Metazoa; Chordata; Crocodylia; Alligatoridae.